RNAcentral lists this ribosomal RNA (3099 nucleotides) under Durio zibethinus. Its description in RNAcentral is "eukaryotic LSU rRNA". It matches the Rfam family "Eukaryotic large subunit ribosomal RNA". The record is from RNAcentral. Lineage: Eukaryota; Viridiplantae; Streptophyta; Magnoliopsida; Malvales; Malvaceae.
AUUGCCUGUUGGAUGCCAAGGGUAGUCUCAUGGCCUUUGCUUGUGUUUUUCCCAUGCCAAGCAGUUAUGGUAUGGCUUCACGCAUCAUUUCUUUCACUCACUUGAGAAUUAGGUGCCCCAGACAUUCAAAUUAUAGUUUGGAGAAUCAUCUUUAACAAUGGACAGAGCCCAAGUCCCCUAGAAAAAGGCACCAAAAAAGGUGAAAGCCCUAUUGUGCUUAGACAUUAUCACACCACAGGCACUAUCUGCAAGUCUAGUUGUUUGGGAAUGCAGCCCCAAUUAAGUGGUAAAUUCACUCUAAGGCUGAAUAUAGGUAAAACACCAAUAACAAACAAGUAUCAUGAGGGAAAGAUGGAAAGGACUUUGAAAAAGGAGUCAAAGAGUGCUUGAAUUUAUUGGGACGAAAAAGAUGCGGCUGACAAUGCACCUUGAUUAGAUGUGGAAUAGCAAGAGGUAGUUUAUUGAUUAGCUCAGGGCAUGGACCAAUAUGGGUCAUGAUGGUGGCCCAAGCCCAAGCUUUGGAUAUACCCAUAAAGACAUCAUUACCGUAAUAGUGGAAUGUAGCAUGUACCAUCUCGACAUGCCUUGGCACUAGCGUGCUCUUGGCAUCGAUCUGGGGAUCUUCAUCCAGCCCAUCUUUAAAGACAAACCAAUGAGUCUGACAUGUGUGUGAGUCAGUGGGCUAGAAAACCUAUAAGAUGCAAAAAAGCUAAUUGGCGGGAUCCUUCGAGGGUGCACCACCAACCUUGAUCUUUUAAGAAGGGUUUGAGUGCGAACAAGCCUAUCAAGAUCGAAAAGAUGGUAAACUAUGCUUGAGUGGUGUAAAGCCAGAGAAAACUCUAGUGGAGAACUACAGUGACACUGACAUAAAAAUCAUUCAUCUGACUUAGGUAUAGGGGUGAAAGACUAAUCAAACUAUCUAGUAGCUAGUUCCCUCUAAAGUUUCUCUUAAGAUAGUUAGAGCCCUUAGCAAGUUCUAUUAGGUAAAGCAAAUGAUUAGAGGCAUCAGGGAUGCAACAUGCUCAAAUUAUUCUCAAACUUUAAAUAGGUAGGAUGGAACAAUUGCUUCAUUAAGCUGCACCACGGAAUCAAGAGCUCCAAGUGAGCCAUUUUUGUUAAAAAAAAAUGGUGAUGCAAGGUGAAUUAAAAGCUAGGUUACAAUGCCCAAUUGUGUGUUAACCUAGAACCCAUAAAGGGUGUUGGUUAAUUAAGAUAGCAGGAUAGUGGUCAUGGAAGUCAAAAUUCACUGAUGAGUGUGUAACAACUCAACUGCUGAAUCUACUAGCCCUAAAAAUGGAUAGCAUUUAAGUCAUGACCUAUACCCAACUAUCGAGGGAAAGGCUAGGCCCUGAUGAGUAAGAGGGCAUAGCAGUCAUUGUAAAACCCAAGGUGCAAGCCUUAAUAGUACAACGUUGAUGCAGAUCUUUGGUGGUGGUAGCAAAUAUUCAAAUGAGAAUGACAUUUGCACAUGGGUUAGUCAAUCCUAAAAGAGGGGAAAGCCUACUAAUAGCAUGUCUAGCACAAGCUUUGAAAAGGAAUCAGGUUCUGAACUAGGAUAUGGUGGCUAACAUCAACAUUGAAAAGUUUAGAGACUUUGGUGGGGGAUUUAAAAAGAGUUAUCUUUUCUAUUUAAUAGCCUACACACCUUGGAAAUAGCUUAGCUGGAGGUAGGGUCCAAUGGCCAGAAGAGUACUAGAUGUUGCAUGGAGUCCAUUGCACUACUGAGCUAUUCCCACAAUGAGAGUAGGUCAUCAUGUGUCGACCAAGGGAUAGACUGGGAAUGCCUCCCUUGAAGGCCUUUCCUAGGCAAUGAAUAGUUAACUUAAAAUUGGUAUAGACAAUGGGAAUUUGAUUGUUUAAUUAAAAUAAAACAUUGCGAUGGUCCCUGUAAAUGCUCACACAAUGAGAUUUUUUCCUAGUGCUCUAAAUGUUAAAGUGAAAAGAUUCAACCAAUUAAGGAUAAAUGGUGGGAGUAACUAUGACUCUCUUAAGGUAGCCAAUUGGCUCAUCAUCUAAUUAGUGAUGUGCAUGAAUGGAUUAAUGAGAUUCCCAUUGUCCUUGUCUACUAUCUAGCAAAACCACAGCCAAAGGAAUGGGCUUGGUAGAAUCAACAGGGAAAGAAGACCUUAUUAAACUUAACUCUAGUCUAACUUUGUGAAAUGACUUGAAAGGUGUAGGAUAACUGGGAGCCCUUAAGUGAAAUUGAAAUACCAUUACUUUUAAUGUUAUUUUGCUUAUUCCAUGAAUUAGAGGCAAGCCAUGAUGCCUUUUUUUAGACCCAAGGCUAGCCUCAGUCCAUUAAUCUGGGUGUAAGACAUUGUUAGGUGGCGAGUUUGGCUGGGGCAACACUUUUGUUAAAAGAUAACACAGGUGCCCUAAGAUGAGCUUAACAAGAAUAGAAAUUUUAUGUGGAACAAAAGGGUAAAAGCUUGUUUGAUUCUAAUUCUAGUAUGAAUACAAAUCAUGUGGCCUAUUAAUCUUUUAGACCUUCAAAAUUUUAAGCUAAAGGUGUUAUAAAAGUUACCAUAGGGAUAACUAGCUUAUGGUAGCUAAGCAUUCAUAGCAACAUUGCUUUUUUAUCCUUUGAUGUCGGCACCUCCUAUCAUUGUGAAGUGGAAUUCACCAAGUAUUGGAUUAUUCACCCACUAAUAGGGAAUGUGAGCUAGGUUUAGACCAUUGUGAGACAAGUUAGUUUAACCCUACUAAUGGUAGCAUUGUAAUAGUAAUUCAACCUAGUAUGAAAGGAACCAUUAAUUUACACAAUUGGUUAUUGCACUUGGUUGAAAAGCCAGUGGUGCAAAGCUACCAUACACUGGAUUAUGAGUAAAUACCCUAGGUUAGAAUCUGGGUUAAAAGCAAUGACACACUAUUUACUUGAUUGGUAACCUGCAGCAGGGGCCCAUCACUCCCAGGUGCACAUGUCAUAGGUGUAAUCCCUGAGGUGGACAAACUAAAUGGCCUCUUUGGAGCACAAUUCCCACCAAGUAGUGGGUAGAAUCCUUUGCAGAUGACUUAAAUAUGCAAUAAAGUAUUGUAAAUGGUAGAGUGGCCUUACUGCCAUGAUCCACUGAGAUUCAUCCCUUUGUUGCUUUGAUUUGU